AUCAUACUCAAAAAAAAGAGUUUGAUCCUGGCUCAGAAUGAACGCUAGCGAUAUGCUUAACACAUGCAAGUCGAACGUUGUUUUCGUUGUUACGUGUUGAAGGUCGCAUUCGGAGGAGAAACCCCUUUUUUUCUCCGAGCCGCUCAACUCAGUUGAGCCUGCGGCCUCCGAUCGACCGUGAAAACCGUUGAAAACAAAGUGGCGAACGGGCGAGUAAUAUGUGGGGAUCUGCCAAACAGUUCGGGCCAAAUCCCGAAUAAACGAAAGCUAAAAGGCGCUGUUUGAUGAGCCCACAAAGCAUCAGGUAGUUGGUUAGGUAAAGGCUGACCAAGCCAACGACGCUUAGCGGGUCUGUUAGGGCGAUCCGCCGCACUGGGACUGAGACACGGCCCAGACUCCCACGGGAGGCUGCAGUGGGGAAUCUUGGACAAUGGGCGAAAGCCUGAUCCAGCAAUAUGGCGUGAGUGAAGAAGGGCAAUGCAGCUUGUAAAGCUCUUUCGUCGAGUAUGCGAUUAUGACAAGACUCGAAGAAGAAGCCCCGGCUAACUCCGUGCCAGCAGCCGCGGUAAGACGGGGGGGGCAAGUGUUAUUCGGAAUGACUAGGCGUAAAGGGCACGUAGGCGGUGAAUCCAGUUGGAAGUGAAAGUCGCCAGCUCGACUGGCGGAAUGCUUUCAAAACCAAUUUACUAGAGUAAGGCAUAGAGGAAAGCGGAAUUUCGUGUGUAGCGAUAAAAUGCAAAAAUAUACGAAGGAACGCCAAAAGCGAAGGCAGCUUUCUGGUUCUUUAACCGACGCUAAAGUGCGAAAGCAUGGGGAGCAAACAGGAUUAGAUACCCUGGUAGUCCAUGCUGUAAACGAUGAGUGUUCGUUCUUGGUCUACUGAUAUCGCACUCUUUCGGUCCGAUUUAAGCUCGGCUUAAUGCUUAAAUUACCGCAAAGGUAGUGUGACUCGAUUGUUUCCUUCAAGUUCCAAUAAUCGUGAAAAAUAUGUGAUGAUCAGGGGCUGAGCUAACGCGUUAAACACUCCGCCUGGGGAGUACGGUCGCAAGGCUGAAACUGCGCAAAACCUUACCAGCCCUUGACAUACGAAUAAGUGUGCUUGUCCUUAACGGGAUGGUACGGAAAUUCAUACAGGUGUUGCAUGGCUGUCGUCAGCUCGUGUCUUGAGACGUUGGGUUAAGUCCUAUAACGAGCGCAACCCUCGUUUUGUGUUGCUAAGACAUGCUCUGGUUCAAUCCUUGACCACUGGAGACUGACGAAGACUACGCCGUGAAAAUGGGGGAUACCAAUGAGCUGAGUUGUUGCAAACGCCGUGUGGCCCAUUCCGAAAAGAAUAUGACCAUAAUACAAAGUUUUAAUACGGUACUCUCCGACGAACGAAGCUCUCGGAGCAUUGUACACUUCACACUGAGGAACUCAGUCUUAGUCAAAAUGAUUGACACUCCAAGCCAUGUGCUGCACUCACAAAAAACUGCCAGUGAUAUACUGGAGGAAGGUGGGGAUGACGUCAAGUCCGCAUGGCCCUUAUGGGCUGGGCUACACACGUGCUACAAUGGCAAUUACAAUUGGAAGCAAUGCCGUAAGGCGGAGCGAAUCCAGAAAGAUUGCCUAAGUUCGGAUUGUUCUCUGCAACUCGAGAACAUGAAGUUGGAAUCGCUAGUAAUCGCGGAUCAGCAUGCCGCGGUGAAUAAGUACUCGGGCCCUGUACAAACUGCCCGUCAAACCAUGGGAAUUGGUUUCGCCCGAAGCAGCCGACCAAAGAUCACCCAUUACUCGGGGUGUUCCACGCCGUUGUUGAGCGCGGUCUACUAGAGGCAUUGGUGAUCUUAUGUAGGAGACCAAGGUUGGGCCAUUGACUGAGGUUAAGUCGUAACAAGGUAGCCGCAGGGGAACCUGUGGCUGGAUUGACUCC
Molecule: ribosomal RNA, 1912 nt
Filed under: Lepidozia trichodes
Lineage: Eukaryota; Viridiplantae; Streptophyta; Jungermanniopsida; Jungermanniales; Lepidoziaceae
Description: SSU rRNA
Rfam family: Bacterial small subunit ribosomal RNA
Source: RNAcentral